This 917-nucleotide ribosomal RNA is filed under the name Inonotus sp. Its description in RNAcentral is "partial large subunit ribosomal RNA". It matches the Rfam family "Eukaryotic large subunit ribosomal RNA", at positions 52 to 945 of the family's 3401-position model. The record is from RNAcentral. Lineage: Eukaryota; Fungi; Basidiomycota; Agaricomycetes; Hymenochaetales; Hymenochaetaceae.
GGAGGAAGAGAAACUAACAAGGAUUCCCCUAGUAACUGCGAGUGAAGCGGGAAAAGCUCAAAUUUAAAAUCUGGCGGUCUUCUGGCCGUCCGAGUUGUAGUCUGGAGAAGUGUUAUCCGCGUCGGACCGUGUACAAGUCUCCUGGAAUGGAGCGUCAUAGAGGGUGAGAAUCCCGUCCAUGACACGGACGCCCGAUGCUUUGUGAGGCACUCUCGAAGAGUCGAGUUGUUUGGGAAUGCAGCUCAAAAUGGGUGGUAAAUUCCAUCUAAAGCUAAAUAUUGGCGAGAGACCGAUAGCGAACAAGUACCGUGAGGGAAAGAUGAAAAGCACUUUGGAAAGAGAGUUAAACAGUACGUGAAAUUGUUGAAAGGGAAACGCUUGAAGUCAGUCGCGUCCCGUAGAACUCAGCCUGGCUUCGGUCUGGUGUAUUUUCUAUGUGGACGGGUCAACAUCAGUUUUGGCCGGUGGAAAAAGGCAGAGGGAAUGUAGCGCCGCUUCGGUGGCGUGUUAUAGCCCUUUGUCAAAUACACUGGCUGGGACUGAGGACCGCAGCACGCCCUUGUGGCCGGGGGUUCGCCCCACGUACCGUGCUUAGGAUGUUGGCAUAAUGGCUUUAAGCGACCCGUCUUGAAACACGGACCAAGGAGUCCAACAUGCUUGCGAGUGUUCGGGUGGAAAACCCUUGCGCGUAAUGAAAGUGAAAGUUGGGAACCUCCGCAAGGGGGUGCACCGACGCCCGGCCCUGACGUUCUCUGACGGUGCUGCGGUAGAGCAAGUAUGCUGGGACCCGAAAGAUGGUGAACUAUGCCUGAAUAGGGCGAAGCCAGAGGAAACUCUGGUGGAGGCUCGUAGCGAUUCUGACGUGCAAAUCGAUCGUCAAAUUUGGGUAUAGGGGCGAAAGACUAAUCGAACCAUCU